Molecule: long non-coding RNA, 367 nt
Organism: Anguilla anguilla (European eel)
Lineage: Eukaryota; Metazoa; Chordata; Actinopteri; Anguilliformes; Anguillidae
Exons: 4
Source: RefSeq, a predicted model, not a curated record
GUGUCCAGGUAUAUGUAAAUGCCGCUGUACACAGCAGUUGAGUUCUGUUUUCUGUUCGUCAUCAGACGGUGCCUGUUGGCGUUAGAAAAGUUUAUGAAAGCAGUGAAACAUUCAGAAGUAGCUGGUAGAAGCCACGACUUAAGAAGAAAAUGCCAACAAGAAAGUGAAUGAGUUUGAAUACAGAUUCAACAAAUGAUUGAAGGUUACUGCUGGCAUUAUCAAAGCAGUGAAAAAGACAAAAGUAGCGAAAAAGACAAAAGUAGCUGAUAGAAGCCACGACUUAAGAGUACCACACACCCGUGGGAAAUAAACUCUGGAUGGCUCAGAAGACCUCUCCGGGGCUCUGGACAGCUCAGGAGGACUCUCC